This 340-nucleotide ribosomal RNA is filed under the name Amblyomma cajennense (Cayenne tick). Its description in RNAcentral is "partial 12S small subunit ribosomal RNA". Lineage: Eukaryota; Metazoa; Arthropoda; Arachnida; Ixodida; Ixodidae. The record is from RNAcentral.
AUUAUUAGAAAUUAAAUAUUGUUAGUAAGUAAAAAUUAUGAAAACAAAAAGUUAUGGCGGUAUCUUAAGCUUUUCAGAGGAAUUUGCUCUUUAAUGGAUAAAACGCCAGAAUCUUACUAAGAUUAGUAAAAUCAGUUUGUAUACCACUAUAAAAACAAUUAUUAAUAAUAAUUGUUUCAAAAUUAUAAUAAAUAAAAAAUUAAGUCAAGGUGCAGCAAAAAUUUUAGUAUGAAGUGAAUUACAAAGCUUUUUAGAAAUUUAUUUUUAAAUAAAAAAAAUUAGGAUUUGAAAGUAAAAAUAUAAUAGAAUGAUUAUUUGAAUUAAGUUCUGAGAUAUGUAC